Molecule: ribosomal RNA, 118 nt
Filed under: Triticum dicoccoides
Lineage: Eukaryota; Viridiplantae; Streptophyta; Magnoliopsida; Poales; Poaceae
Source: RNAcentral
GGAUGCGGUCAUACCAGCACUAAAGCAUCGUAUCCCAUCAGAACUCCGAAGUUAAGCGUGCUUGGGCAAGAGUAGUACUAGGAUGGCGACCUCCUGGGAAGUCCUCGUGUUGCAUUCC